GAUGAAGAACGUAGCAAAAUGCGAUAAGUAAUGUGAAUUGCAGAAUUCAGUGAGUCAUCGAAUCUUUGAACGCACAUUGCGCCCUGUGGUAUUCCGCAGGGCAUGCCUGUUCGAGCGUCAUUUCAACCCUCAAGCUCUGCUUGGUGUUGGGCCCUGCCCGCUGCGGCCGGCCCUAAAGACAGUGGCGGUGCCGCCUGGCCCUGAGCGUAGUACAUCUCUCGCUCCAGUGCCCGGUGGUAGCCUGCCAGAACCCCAACUCUCGUGGUUGACCUCGGAUCAGGUAGGGAUACCCGCUGAACUUAAGCAUAUCAAUAAGCGGAGGA
RNAcentral lists this unclassified non-coding RNA (323 nucleotides) under soil metagenome. RNAcentral's name for it is "partial contains 5.8S ribosomal RNA, internal transcribed spacer 2, and large subunit ribosomal RNA". The stretch from base 1 to 120 matches the Rfam family "5.8S ribosomal RNA", at positions 35 to 154 of the family's 154-position model. The record is from RNAcentral.